This 253-nucleotide ribosomal RNA is filed under the name uncultured bacterium. RNAcentral's name for it is "partial 16S ribosomal RNA". It matches the Rfam family "Bacterial small subunit ribosomal RNA", at positions 524 to 776 of the family's 1533-position model. The record is from RNAcentral.
UACGUAGGGUGCAAGCGUUGUCCGGAAUUAUUGGGCGUAAAGAGCUCGUAGGCGGUCUGUCGCGUCGGCUGUGAAAACCCAGGGCUCAAUCCUGGGCCUGCAGUCGAUACGGGCAGACUAGAGUUCGGUAGGGGAGACUGGAAUUCCUGGUGUAGCGGUGAAAUGCGCAGAUAUCAGGAGGAACACCGGUGGCGAAGGCGGGUCUCUGGGCCGAUACUGACGCUGAGGAGCGAAAGCGUGGGGAGCGAACAGG